Molecule: ribosomal RNA, 821 nt
Filed under: uncultured marine bacterium
Lineage: Bacteria
Description: bacterial SSU rRNA
Rfam family: Bacterial small subunit ribosomal RNA
Source: RNAcentral
GCCAGCAGCCGCGGUAAUACGGAGGAUGCAAGCGUUAUCCGGAUUUAUUGGGUUUAAAGGGUCCGCAGGCGGAUCAAUAAGUCAGUGGUGAAAGCCCAUAGCUCAACUAUGGAACUGCCAUUGAAACUGUUGAUCUUGAUUCUAGUUGACGUAGGCGGAAUGUGACAUGUAGCGGUGAAAUGCAUAGAUAUGUCACAGAACACCGAUUGCGAAGGCAGCUUACGAAACUAUGAAUGACGCUCAUGGACGAAAGCGUGGGUAGCGAACAGGAUUAGAUACCCUGGUAGUCCACGCCGUAAACGAUGAUCACUCGAUGUCAGCGAUAUACUGUUGGUGUCCAAGCGAAAGUAUUAAGUGAUCCACCUGGGGAGUACGUUCGCAAGAAUGAAACUCAAAGGAAUUGACGGGGGCCCGCACAAGCGGUGGAGCAUGUGGUUUAAUUCGAUGAUACGCGAGGAACCUUACCUGGGCUUAAAUGUAGAGUGCUUUUCAUGGAAACAUGAUUUUCUUCGGACGCUCUACAAGGUGCUGCAUGGCUGUCGUCAGCUCGUGCUGUGAGGUGUCGGGUUAAGUCCCAUAACGAGCGCAACCCCUAUUUCUAGUUGCUAGCAGGUAAUGCUGAGGACUCUAGAGAGACUGCCGGUGCAAACCGUGAGGAAGGUGGGGAUGACGUCAAGUCAGCACGGCCCUUACGUCCAGGGCUACACACGUGCUACAAUGGUGGGUACAGAGGGCAGCUACUUGGUGACAAGAUGCUAAUCUGGAAAGCCUAUCUCAGUUCGGAUCGGAGUCUGAAACUCGACUCCGUGAAGCUGGAAUCG